CCGGCACGGGUGAGUAACACGUAUCCAACCUGCCGUCUACUCUUGGACAGCCUUCUGAAAGGAAGAUUAAUACAAGAUGGCAUCAUGAGUCCGCAUGUUCACAUGAUUAAAGGUAUUCCGGUAGACGAUGGGGAUGCGUUCCAUUAGAUAGUAGGCGGGGUAACGACCCACCUAGUCUUCGAUGGAUAGGGGUUCUGAGAGGAAGGUCCCCCACAUUGGAACUGAGACACGGUCCAA
RNAcentral lists this ribosomal RNA (237 nucleotides) under uncultured bacterium. Its description in RNAcentral is "partial 16S ribosomal RNA". It matches the Rfam family "Bacterial small subunit ribosomal RNA", at positions 100 to 334 of the family's 1533-position model. The record is from RNAcentral.